AUUGAGCGCUGGCGGCAUGCCUUACACAUGCAAGUCGAACGGCAGCACGGGAGCUUGCUCCUGGUGGCGAGUGGCGAACGGGUGAGUAAUACAUCGGAACGUACCCAGUAGUGGGGGAUAACGCACCGAAAGGUGCGCUAAUACCGCAUACGACCUAAGGGUGAAAGCGGGGGACCGUAAGGCCUCGCGCUAUUGGAGCGGCCGAUGUCUGAUUAGCUAGUUGGUGAGGUAAAGGCUCACCAAGGCUUCGAUCAGUAGCUGGUCUGAGAGGACGAUCAGCCACACUGGGACUGAGACACGGCCCAGACUCCUACGGGAGGCAGCAGUGGGGAAUUUUGGACAAUGGGCGAAAGCCUGAUCCAGCAAUGCCGCGUGUGCGAAGAAGGCCUUCGGGUUGUAAAGCACUUUUGUCAGGGAAGAAAUCUUUUAGGCUAAUACCUUGGAAGGAUGACGGUACCUGAAGAAUAAGCACCGGCUAACUACGUGCCAGCCGCCGCAGUAA
RNAcentral lists this ribosomal RNA (502 nucleotides) under uncultured bacterium. RNAcentral's name for it is "partial 16S ribosomal RNA". It matches the Rfam family "Bacterial small subunit ribosomal RNA", at positions 30 to 523 of the family's 1533-position model. The record is from RNAcentral.